UAGUGAUGCUGCGCCGAAGAUUUAACGGGGCUAAGUGUAUAACCGAAGCUUAGGCAGUUUUAAAACUGGGUAGGGGAGCGUUCCAUAUAGGGCGAAGCAUAAGCGAAAGCGUGUGUGGACGGUAUGGAAGUGAGAAUGCCGGAAUGAGUAGCGAGAAUUGCGUGAGAAUCGUAAUGGCCGAAAAUCUAAGGUUUCCAGGGGUAGGUUCGUCCGCCCUGGGUAAGCCGGGAGCUAAGGCGAGGCCGAAAGGCGUAGUCGAUGCACAUACGGUAGAGAUUCCGUAGCCGCCGAAGAUUUAAAUAUACUGACACAUGUGAGGAGCGCAAGCCGGGCGUUGGUAGACCCGGUCGAAAGGGACUGAAAUAUAGUAGGGAAGUGCGUAAGUCAUGUGGCGAGAAAAGGUAUAUGUACAUUGAAGGCGCCCGUACCGCAAACCGACACAGGUAGAUGAGGAGAGAAUCCUAAGGCCAACGGGAGAAGGGUUGUUAAGGAACUCGGCAUAUUAACCCCGUAACUUCGGGAUAAGGGGAGCCUCCGAAAGGAGGUCGCAGUGAAAAGGCCCAGGCGACUGUUUAACAAAAACAUAGGUCUCUGCAAAACCGAAAGGUGAGGUAUAGGGGCUGACGCCUGCCCGGUGCCGGAAGGUCAAGGGGAACACUCAGAGCAAUCGAAGGUGUGAACUUAAGCCCCGGUAAACGGCGGCCGUAACUAUAACGGUCCUAAGGUAGCGAAAUUCCUUGUCAGGUAAGUUCUGACCCGCACGAAUGGCGUAACGAUCUGGGCACUGUCUCAACAGCCCGCCCGGCGAAAUUGUAGUACCGGUGAAGAUGCCGGUUACCCGCGACUAGACGGAAAGACCCCAUGGAGCUUUACUGUAGCCUGAUAUUGAGAUUCGGUUCAUUAUGUACAGGAUAGGUGGGAGACUGUGAGACAAUGGCGUCAGCUGUUGAGGAGUCGUUGUUGGGAUACCACUCUUGAUGAAUCGGAUUUCUAACCUGCGCCCGUGAAUCCGGGCGGGGGACACUGUCAGGUGGGCAGUUUGACUGGGGCGGUCGCCUCCAAAAGAGUAACGGAGGCGUUCAAAGCUCGGCUCAGCGCGGACGGAAAUCGCGCAAUGAGUAUAAACGUAGAAGCCGGGUUGACUGCGAGACCAACAAGUCGAGCAGGUACGAAAGUAGGAGUUAGUGAUCAGGUGGUAGUGAGUGGAAAUGCCAUCGC
This 1218-nucleotide ribosomal RNA is filed under the name human gut metagenome. Its description in RNAcentral is "bacterial LSU rRNA". It matches the Rfam family "Bacterial large subunit ribosomal RNA", at positions 1151 to 2448 of the family's 2925-position model. The record is from RNAcentral.